AACUCUAGGAUAAUUACGCAUAACGAAACUGUCAUUCUCAUAGAACCCCCAAGAAGGGCAGCUGAACCUAAAACAGCAAACAGGCCAUGGUUAAGAGUCGAGUGCGAACCAAACAUCAUCCCAAUAAAUCGACCAUAAGCGGCACCUGUCACAAUGACAGGUACAAAGAGACCUGCCGACCAUGGUUAAGAGUCGAGUGUGAACCAAACAUCAUCCCAAUAAAUCGACCAUAAGCGGCACCUGUCACAAUGACAGGUACAAAGAGACCUGCCGGUGUGACAAUCCCAUAACUAAAGAUGCUCAGGAAAAAACAGGUGAUAAAGAAAAUUAGCAUCGAGAGAUGGUGAAACUCAGCAUCAGUAUCCUUGCUGAAAAGGUUUUUGAUUGCAUCA
RNAcentral lists this long non-coding RNA (392 nucleotides) under Nicotiana benthamiana. Its description in RNAcentral is "long non-coding RNA (NBEN_LNC032301)". The record is from RNAcentral. Lineage: Eukaryota; Viridiplantae; Streptophyta; Magnoliopsida; Solanales; Solanaceae.